AGCGAACGCUGGCGGCAGGCCUAACACAUGCCAGUCGAACGGAUCCUUCGGGAUUAGUGGCGGACGGGUGAGUAACACGUGGGAACGUGCCCUUUGGUUCGGAACAACUCAGGGAAACUUGAGCUAAUACCGGAUGUGCCCUUCGGGGGCAAGAUUUAUCGCCAUUGGAGCGGCCCGCGUCUGAUUAGCUAGUUGGUGAGGUAACGGCCCACCAAGGCGACGAUCAGUAGCUGGUCUGAGAGGAUGAUCAGCCACACUGGGACUGGGACACGGCCCAGACUCCUACGGGAGGCAGCAGUGGGGAAUCUUGCGCAAUGGGCGAAAGCCUGACGCAGCCAUGCCGCGUGAAUGAUGAAGGUCUUAGGAUUGUAAAAUUCUUUCAGCGGGGACGAUAAUGACGGUACCCGCAGAAGAAGCUCCGGCUAACUUCGUG
Molecule: ribosomal RNA, 433 nt
Filed under: uncultured bacterium
Lineage: Bacteria
Description: partial 16S ribosomal RNA
Rfam family: Bacterial small subunit ribosomal RNA
Source: RNAcentral